Molecule: ribosomal RNA, 497 nt
Filed under: uncultured bacterium
Lineage: Bacteria
Description: partial 16S ribosomal RNA
Rfam family: Bacterial small subunit ribosomal RNA
Source: RNAcentral
GAUGAACGCUGGCGGCGUGCCUAAUACAUGCAAGUCGAGCGAACAGACGAGGAGCUUGCUCCUCUGACGUUAGCGGCGGACGGGUGAGUAACACGUGGAUAACCUACCUAUAAGACUGGGAUAACUUCGGGAAACCGGAGCUAAUACCGGAUAAUAUAUUGAACCGCAUGGUUCAAUAGUGAAAGACGGUUUUGCUGUCACUUAUAGAUGGAUCCGCGCCGCAUUAGCUAGUUGGUAAGGUAACGGCUUACCAAGGCGACGAUGCGUAGCCGACCUGAGAGGGUGAUCGGCCACACUGGAACUGAGACACGGUCCAGACUCGUACGGGAGGCAGCAGUAGGGAAUCUUCCGCAAUGGGCGAAAGCUUGACGGAGCAACGCCGCGUGAGUGAUGAAGGUCUUCGGAUCGUAAAACUCUGUUAUUAGGGAAGAACAAAUGUGUAAGUAACUAUGCACGUCUUGACGGUACCUAAUCAGAAAGCCACGGCUAACUACGUG